AUGCUCACUUUCACAACACAUAUACUAAAACUGGAAUGACACAGAGAUUAACAUGGCCCCUCAGCAAGGAUGACAUGCAAAUUCAUGAAGUGUUCCAUAUUAAA
Small nuclear RNA from Suricata suricatta (meerkat), 104 nucleotides. The record is from Ensembl. NCBI's taxonomy places the organism in Eukaryota, Metazoa, Chordata, Mammalia, Carnivora, Herpestidae.